GACGAACGCUGGCGGCGUGCUUAACACAUGCAAGUCGAACGAAAAGAGGGAAAGAGCUUGCUCUUUCCGGAAUUGAGUGGCAAACGGGUGAGUAACACGUAAACAACCUGCCUUCAGGAUGGGGACAACAGACGGAAACGACUGCUAAUACCGAAUAAGUUCCAAGAGCCGCAUGGCCCAUGGAAGAAAAGGUGGCCUCUACCUGUAAGCUAUCGCCUGAAGAGGGGUUUGCGUCUGAUUAGCUGGUUGGAGGGGUAACGGCCCACCAAGGCGACGAUCAGUAGCCGACCUGAGAGGGUGAACGGCCACAUUGGGACUGAGACACGGCCCAAACUCCUACGGGAGGCAGCAGUGGGGAAUAUUGCACAAUGGGGGGAAACCCUGAUGCAGCGACGCCGCGUGAGUGAUGAAGUAUUUCGGUAUGUAAAACUCUAUCAGCAGGGAAGAUAAUGACGGUACCUGACUAAGAAGCACCGGCUAAAUACGUG
This 488-nucleotide ribosomal RNA is filed under the name uncultured bacterium. RNAcentral describes it as "bacterial SSU rRNA". It matches the Rfam family "Bacterial small subunit ribosomal RNA", at positions 28 to 507 of the family's 1533-position model. The record is from RNAcentral.